AGCAGCCGCGGUAAUUCCAGCUCCAAUAGCGUAUAUUAAAGUUGUUGCAGUUAAAAAGCUCGUAGUUGAAUUUCGGGGUUAGUAGGUUGGUCGUGCCUUUGGUAUGUACUGGUCUCACUGAUUCCUCCUUCUUGAAGACUGUAAUGUCAUUAAUUUGGUGUUGCAGGGAAACAGGACUGUUACUUUGAAAAAUUAGAGUGUUUAAAGCAGGCUAACGCCUGAAUACAUUAGCAUGGAAUAAUGAAAUAGGACGUUUGAUCCUAUUUGUUGGUUUCUAGGAUUGACGUAAUGAUUAAUAGGGAUAGUUGGGGCAUUAGUAUUCAAUUGUCAGAGGUGAAAUUCUUGGAUUUAUGAAGACUAACUACUGCGAAAGCAUUUGCCAAGGAUGUUUCAUUAAUACAAGAACGAAAGUUAGGGAUACGAAGACGAUCAG
Molecule: ribosomal RNA, 433 nt
Filed under: uncultured Glomus
Lineage: Eukaryota; Fungi; Glomeromycota; Glomeromycetes; Glomerales; Glomeraceae
Description: SSU rRNA
Rfam family: Eukaryotic small subunit ribosomal RNA
Source: RNAcentral